This 468-nucleotide ribosomal RNA is filed under the name uncultured bacterium. RNAcentral describes it as "partial 16S ribosomal RNA". It matches the Rfam family "Bacterial small subunit ribosomal RNA", at positions 28 to 507 of the family's 1533-position model. The record is from RNAcentral.
GACGAACGCUGGCGGCGUGCUUAACACAUGCAAGUCGAACGGAAAGGCCCUGCUUUUGUGGGGUGCUCGAGUGGCGAACGGGUGAGUAACACGUGAGUAACCUGCCCUUGACUUUGGGAUAACUUCAGGAAACUGGGGCUAAUACCGGAUAGGAGCUCCUGCUGCAUGGUGGGGGUUGGAAAGUUUCGGCGGUUGGGGAUGGACUCGCGGCUUAUCAGCUUGUUGGUGGGGUAGUGGCUUACCAAGGCUUUGACGGGUAGCCGGCCUGGGAGGGUGACCGGCCACAUUGGGACUGAGAUGCGGCCCAGACUCCUACGGGAGGCAGCAGUGGGGAAUAUUGCACAGUGGGCGGAAGCCUGAUGCAGCAACGCCGCGUGCGGGAUGACGGCCUUCGGGUUGUAAACCGCUUUCGCCUGUGACGAAGCGUGAGUGACGGUAAUGGGUAAAGAAGCACCGGCUAACUACGUG